This is a long non-coding RNA of Lathyrus oleraceus (garden pea), 316 nucleotides long. RefSeq lists it as uncharacterized. The transcript is spliced from 3 exons. The record is from RefSeq and is a predicted model, not a curated record. NCBI's taxonomy places the organism in Eukaryota, Viridiplantae, Streptophyta, Magnoliopsida, Fabales, Fabaceae.
CUCGUCCUCAAUCGGUCCACUACGCUUCUGGGAAAUUUCUUUCCAUCUUUGUACCUUUCAACACGUCAUGCUUCCUUCAACUACCGCUUGAAUUAGGUUUCCGAUCGUCCCCGAUUUGGUUCUGCUUCUCGUUUCGUGAUCCAUCGACGACUGUGGUUUAGGUUUAGGGUAUAGAUUUCACCAUGUCAGAUUCCGAUUCUUCCUCUUAUGGCGGCGAAUACAAAAACCUCAAACAAAUUAGUCGCGAGAGAUUAUUACAUGAAAUGCUCAGGUCAGCGAAAACAGGGGAUUCAAAAUCUACAUGGAAGGUAUAGGA